GGUCCCGCCUGCCCAGUGACCAACCACUUUAAACGGCCGCGGUAUCCUAACCGUGCAAAGGUAGCGUAAUCACUUGUCCCCUAAAUAGGGACUAGUAUGAACGGCUAAAUGAGGGCCCAACUGUCUCCUUUGAUUAAUCAGUGAAAUUGAUCCACCCGUACAAAAGCUGGUAUACACCCAUAAGACGAGAAGACCCUGUGGAGCUUAAAAUGCUUAAGUCAAAAUAACAGCACAACCAAAAAUGACAUAACAUUUUCAGUUGGGGCGACUACGGAAAUAAACCAAACUUCCAAGCCAAGAGCCAACCCGCUCUACCACAGACAAACAUGUCGAACUACCACCUGACCCAGAACCACUCUGAGUAACGAACCAAGUUACCCCAGGGAUAACAGCGCCAUCUUCUUCAAGAGUCCCCAUCGACAAGAAGGUUUACGACCUCGAUGUUGGAUCAGGACACCCAAAUGGUGCAGCCGCUAUUAAAGGUUCGUUUGUUCAACGAUUAAAGUCCUACGUGAUC
RNAcentral lists this ribosomal RNA (517 nucleotides) under Ophisaurus attenuatus. Its description in RNAcentral is "partial 16S ribosomal RNA". It matches the Rfam family "Bacterial large subunit ribosomal RNA", at positions 1851 to 2605 of the family's 2925-position model. The record is from RNAcentral. Lineage: Eukaryota; Metazoa; Chordata; Lepidosauria; Squamata; Anguidae.